GACGAACGCUGGCGGCGUGCUUAACACAUGCAAGUCGAACGGAAAGACCCUGCUUUUGUGGGUUUCUCGAUUGGCGAACGGGGGAGUAACACGUGAGUAACCUGCCCUUGUCUUUGGGAUAACUUCUGGAAACUGGGGCUAAUAUCGGAGAGGAUCUCCUGCUGCAUGUGGUGGGUUGGAAAAUUUCGGCUGUUGUGGCUGGUCUGGCGGCUUAUGAGCUUGUUUGUGGGGUAGGUGCUUUCCAGGCUUUUGACGGGUAGCCGGCAUAAGAGGUUUACCGGCGACAUUGCGCCUGAGGUACGGAGCAGAAUCCUACGGGAGGCAGUGGUGGGGAAUAUUGCAGAAUGGCCGGAAGCCUGAUGCAGCAACGCCGCGUGCGGGAUGACGGCCUUCGAGUUGUAAACCGCUUUGGACUGUGACGAGGCGUGCGUGACGGUAAUGGGUAAAGAAGCAACGGCUAACUACGUG
RNAcentral lists this ribosomal RNA (468 nucleotides) under uncultured bacterium. RNAcentral describes it as "partial 16S ribosomal RNA". It matches the Rfam family "Bacterial small subunit ribosomal RNA", at positions 28 to 507 of the family's 1533-position model. The record is from RNAcentral.